This 1246-nucleotide ribosomal RNA is filed under the name metagenome. RNAcentral's name for it is "bacterial LSU rRNA". It matches the Rfam family "Bacterial large subunit ribosomal RNA", at positions 1564 to 2813 of the family's 2925-position model. The record is from RNAcentral.
UGAGUACGAGAGGCUACGGCCUCGAAGCAGUCUAUGUCAUACUUCCAAGAAAAGCUUGCAAUGUCAUAAACAAAUAAUGCCUGUACCAUAACCGACACAGGUGGGUAGUUAGAGUAUACUAAGGGGCGCGAGAUAACUCUCUCUAAGGAACUCGGCAAAAUGACUCCGUAACUUCGGGAGAAGGAGUGCCUUAUUUAUUAUUUAUAAGGUUGCAAUAACAAGAUCCAAGCAACUGUUUACCAAAAACACAGGUCUCCGCUAAGUCGUAAGACGAUGUAUGGGGGCUGACGCCUGCCCAGUGCCAGAAGGUUAAAGAAGUUGGUUAGCAUUCGCGAAGCUGACAACUGAAGCCCUGGUGAACGGCGGCCGUAACAAUAACGGUCCUAAGGUAGCGAAAUUCCUUGUCGGGUAAGUUCCGACCCGCACGAAAGGCGUAAUGAUUUGGAUACUGUCUCGGAGAGAGGCUCGGUGAAAUAGACUUGUCUGUGAAGAUGCGGACUACCUGCACCUGGACAGAAAGACCCUACGAAGCUUUACUGUAACUUGAAAUUGAAAUUGGACUUUAUUUGCGCAGUAUAGGUGGGAGGCGUUGAUAGUAUUCUUGCGGGAAUAUUGGAGCCAUCAGUGAGAUACCACUCUUGUAAUGUUAGAUUUCUAACUUUGUAUCAUUAUCUGGUCAAAGGACAGUUUCAGGCGGGCAGUUUGACUGGGGCGGUCGCCUCCCAAACGGUAACGGAGGCGUACAAAGGUUUCCUCUGAACGGGUAGAAAUCGUAUCUAGAGUGUAAAGGCAUAAGGAAGCUUGACUGUGAGACCUACAAGUCGAGCAGGGACGAAAGUCGGUCUUAGUGAUCUGACGGUGCUGAGUGGAAAGGCCGUCACUCAACGGAUAAAAGUUACUCUAGGAUAACAGGCUGAUCUCCCCCAAGAGUUCACAUCGACGGGGAGGUUUGGCACCUCGAUGUCGGCUCAUCGCAUCCUGGGGCGGUAGUACGUCCCAAGGGUUGGGCUGUUCGCCCAUGAAAGCGGUACGCGAGCUGGGUUCAGAACGUCGUGAGACAGUUCGGUCCAUAUCCGGUGUAGGCGUUAGAAUAUUGAGAGGAGCCUUCUUUAGUACGAGAGGACCGAGAAGGACAUACCUCUGGUGUACCAGUUAUCGUGCCAACGGUAAACGCUGGGUAGCUAUGUAUGGAGAGGAUAACCGCUGAAAGCAUCUAAGUGGGAAGCCCACCUCAAGAUAAGUACUC